This 173-nucleotide unclassified non-coding RNA is filed under the name Oceanobacillus oncorhynchi. RNAcentral's name for it is "T-box". It matches the Rfam family "T-box leader". Rfam says of the family: Uncharged tRNA acts as the effector for transcription antitermination of genes in the T-box leader family. T-boxes are found upstream of many aminoacyl-tRNA synthetase genes and some amino acid biosynthetic genes usually in Gram-positive bacteria. The anticodon of a specific tRNA base pairs to a specifier sequence within the T-box motif, and the NCCA acceptor tail of the tRNA base pairs to a conserved bulge in the T-box antiterminator hairpin. Lineage: Bacteria; Bacillati; Bacillota; Bacilli; Caryophanales; Bacillaceae. The record is from RNAcentral.
AUAACUGCAAUGAUGAAGAGAAGUACGGAAGCAUAUUCUGUAAUAAGCGAGUCCGGGAUUGGUGCGAGCCGGAUGUAUAGAGGCUUUUGGAAGGAACUUCGGAGCAGUAUGAAAAAGAGGCUCUUGUUAUAGAGAGCAAGUAGGGUGGAACCGCGGUUUAAGCCGUCCCUAUG